RNAcentral lists this non-coding RNA (203 nucleotides) under Methylocystis sp. The record is from RNAcentral. Lineage: Bacteria; Pseudomonadati; Pseudomonadota; Alphaproteobacteria; Hyphomicrobiales; Methylocystaceae.
UUCUAUUUUGCGGCAGACGGUUCCCAACGGGAUCAAAAUGGGAAUGCGGUGAGCGCGCUCUUCGCGCGCGAUUCCGCGGCUGCCCCCGCAACUGUAAGCGGCGAGCCGACGACCACUAAGCCACUGGAGCCAUAAGGCUCUGGGAAGGCGGUCCAAGGCGACAACCCGCGAGCCAGGAGACCUGCCGUCGCUUCGUGGUCACG